RNAcentral lists this RNase P RNA (329 nucleotides) under bovine gut metagenome. RNAcentral's name for it is "Bacterial RNase P class B". It matches the Rfam family "Bacterial RNase P class B". Rfam says of the family: Ribonuclease P (RNase P) is a ubiquitous endoribonuclease, found in archaea, bacteria and eukarya as well as chloroplasts and mitochondria. Its best characterised activity is the generation of mature 5'-ends of tRNAs by cleaving the 5'-leader elements of precursor-tRNAs. RNAcentral also lists the same sequence under 1 other name. The record is from RNAcentral.
UAGGUAAACGCUGCAAACUUGAUUUGUAGAGGAAAGUCCAUGCUCACACUAGCUGCAAUGCUAGUAGUGUUCACGCUUAAGGAAAAAAUAACUUAAGGUAGAGUAAUCUAACGGCUUCGAAAUAACCUCAAAUGGUUAAAUUAGAUAUAAAAGUGCCAAAGAGACGAGCAUUUUUGGAAACGAAAAUGGUGGAACGUGGUAAACCCCGUGAGUGAGAAACCCAAAAUAUGGUAGGGGAACUAACCUAGUAAGAAUUUUAAUGAACGGUUGGACUAGUAAUAGUAGAUAAAUGUUUACCGCCUUUUUUAAGGUACAGAACAUGGCUUAUU